Esox lucius (northern pike) is the source of this 591-nucleotide long non-coding RNA. RefSeq lists it as uncharacterized. The transcript is spliced from 3 exons. The record is from RefSeq and is a predicted model, not a curated record. Lineage: Eukaryota; Metazoa; Chordata; Actinopteri; Esociformes; Esocidae.
GGACAAUACUGUGACUGCUUGUUUAAUCAGAGGUCCUGCUACACCAUGUGAAUUGAUUUUAAGUCUGGGCCAUUUCUAAAUGCCAGGUGGAGACGCAUCUGCUUGGAUGUUGGCCCCCCACCUCAAGCUCAACAAGACAGAGCAGCUCUUUUUCCAUGGGACGCUUUGUCUGCUCCUAGUAAGGUCCAACGUGGUUGACAACUGCACAGUGUCCCCCUUCCAAAGAACCUUGGCUUGACUCUAGACCUUCUAGUUCCCUGAAAACAUCAAAGCAGUGACUCGCCCUAUAACAUUUGUAGAGUAUGAGCUUUUCUCAUACAGGUAGCAGCACUGGUUCUAAUCCAAGAUCUUGUCAUAUGUUGUCUUGAUUACUGUAACUUACUAUUUGUAGGGCUGGAGGAACUGUUGGAGGAAUUACGUUUGUAUUUUUUGCAAGGCCAUGGUGCCCUUGGUAUCAAGGAGAGUAAGGAGAGCUUGCCCUUCAUACCUUCACGAUAUGUUCAAAAAGUAAUAACCUUUAAAUAAUGUUUGAUUACUCCAUAGAAAAUUUUUUAUGAAGUUAUAAGCAUCACAGCUUCCGUCUUUAGGAGC